CCUUUUUCGCCCUUCGGUAAUUCCAGCUCCCCGAGUGGUACCGACGAUUAUUGGGCCUAAAGCGUCCGUAGCCGGCUUGAUAAGUUUCCCGUUAAAUCCGACGAUCUAAUCGUCGGGCUGCGGGAAAUACUGUUAGGCUAGGAGGCGGGAGAGGCCGGCAGUACUUUUGGGGUAGGGGUGAAAUCCUAUAAUCCCAGAAGGACUACCAGUGGCGAAGGCGGCCGGUCAGAACGCGCUCGACGGUGAGGGACGAAAGCUGGGGGAGCGAACCGGAUUAGAUACCCGGGUAGUCCCAGCCGUAAACGAUGCGGGCUAAGUGUCGGGAUGGCUUUAAAGCCAUUUCGGUGCUGCAGGGAAGCCGUUAAGCCCGCCGCCUGGGUAGCACGGCCGCAAGGUUGAAACUUAAAGGAAUUGGCGGUGGAGCACCACAAGGGGUGAAGCUUGCGGUUUAAUUGGAGUCAACGCCGGAAACCUCACCGGAGGGGACAGCUGAAUGAAAGCCAGAUUGAAAGGUCUUGCUAGACUAACUGAGAGGAGGUGCAUGACCGUCGCCAGUUCGUACCGAGAGGUAUCCCGUUAAGUCGGGAAACGAGCGAGACCCACACCUCUAGUUGCCAGCAGGUCCUUUAGGAUGCUGGGCACUCUAGGGGGACUGCCGUCGAUAAGGCGGAGGAAGGAGUGGGCCACGGCAGGUCAGUAUGCCCCGAAUCCUUCGGGCCACACGUGAGCUGCAAUGGUAUGGACAAUGGGCUCCGACUCCGAAAGGAGAAGGUAAUCCCCAAACCAUGCCUCAGUUGGGAUCGAGGGCUGAAACCCGUCCUCGUGAACAUGGAAUCCCUAGUAAUCGCGUGUCAUUAGCGCGCGGUGAAUACGUCCCUGCUCCUUGCACACACCGCCCGUCGCUCCAACCGAGUUGAGUUUAGAUGAGGCGUAGUCAAGUUGGAUCUGUCGAAUCUAAGCUCAGCAAGAGGGGAGAAGUCUUAAGGGGGUAACC
This 994-nucleotide ribosomal RNA is filed under the name uncultured crenarchaeote. RNAcentral describes it as "bacterial SSU rRNA". It matches the Rfam family "Archaeal small subunit ribosomal RNA", at positions 458 to 1448 of the family's 1478-position model. Lineage: Archaea; Thermoproteati; Thermoproteota. The record is from RNAcentral.